Molecule: ribosomal RNA, 374 nt
Filed under: uncultured eukaryote
Lineage: Eukaryota
Description: partial 18S ribosomal RNA
Rfam family: Eukaryotic small subunit ribosomal RNA
Source: RNAcentral
CAAGAGCGUAUGUAAAAGUUGUUGCAGUUAAAAAGCUCGUAGUUGAACCUUGGGUUUGGUUGGCCGGUCCGCUUUUUUGCGAGUACUGGAUUCAACCGAGCCUUUCCUUCUGGCUAACCAGUCGUUUCGGCGGCUGGCGAACCAGGAUUUUUACUUUGAGAAAAUUAGAGUGUUCAAAGCAGGCAUUAGCCUGAAUAUAUUAGCAUGGAAUAAUAGAAUAGGACGUUAUGGUUCUAUUUUGUUGGUUUCUAGGACCAUCGUAAUGAUUAAUAGGGACGGUCGGGGGCAUCAGUAUUCAGUUGUCAGAGGUGAAAUUCUUGGAUUUACUGAAGACUAACUACUGCGAAAGCAUUUGCCAAGGACGUUUUCAUUAA